GAUGAAGAACGCAGCGAAAUGCGAAAAGUAGUGUGAAUUGCAGAAUUCAGUGAAUCAUCGAAUCUUUGAACGCACAUUGCGCCCGCUAGUAUUCUGGCGGGCAUGCCUGUUCGAGCGUCAUUUCAACCAUCAAGCCCUAGGCUUGCGUUGGAGCCCUGCGGCUGCCGCAGGCUCCCAAAUCCAGUGGCGGGCUCGUCGUCGUACCGAGUGCAGUAAACAUCCUCGCUCAGGGAACGUGACGGGUUCUUGCCGUGAAACCCCCCACAUAUCAAGGUUGACCUCGGAUCAGGUAGGAAUACCCGCUGAACUUAAGCAUAUCAAUAAGCGGAGGA
RNAcentral lists this unclassified non-coding RNA (332 nucleotides) under soil metagenome. RNAcentral's name for it is "partial contains 5.8S ribosomal RNA, internal transcribed spacer 2, and large subunit ribosomal RNA". The stretch from base 1 to 120 matches the Rfam family "5.8S ribosomal RNA", at positions 35 to 154 of the family's 154-position model. The record is from RNAcentral.